This 460-nucleotide ribosomal RNA is filed under the name uncultured bacterium. Its description in RNAcentral is "partial 16S ribosomal RNA". It matches the Rfam family "Bacterial small subunit ribosomal RNA", at positions 338 to 795 of the family's 1533-position model. The record is from RNAcentral.
CCUACGGGAGGCAGCAGUGAGGAAUAUUGGUCAAUGGGCUUACGCCUGAACCAGCCAAGUCGCGUGAGGGAAGACUGCCCUAUGGGUUGUAAACCUCUUUUGUCAGGGAGCAACGCCGGCUACGUGUAGCCGGACUGAGAGUACCUGAAGAAAAAGCAUCGGCUAACUCCGUGCCAGCAGCCGCGGUAAUACGGAGGAUGCGAGCGUUAUCCGGAUUUAUUGGGUUUAAAGGGUGCGUAGGCGGAAUGCCAAGUCAGCGGUAAAAUCGCGGGGCUCAACCUCGCUCCGCCGUUGAACCUGGCGUGCUUGAGUGGGCGAGAAGUAUGCGGAAUGCGUGGUGUAGCGGUGAAAUGCAUAGAUAUCACGCAGAACUCCGAUUGCGAAGGCAGCAUACCGGCGCCCAACUGACGCUGAAGCACGAAAGCGUGGGUAUCGAACAGGAUUAGAUACCCUGGUAGUC